ACGCUAGGCGGCGUGCCUAACGACAUGCAAGUCAACUUGACUGAAGGAGCAAUCUGACAGUAGAGUGGCGCAAGGGUGCGUAACGCGUAAGUAACUUGCCCCAAGGUAAGGAAUAACGUCGAGAAAUCGGCGCUAAUACCUCAUAAUGCAGCGGAUCCGCAUGGAUAUGUUGUUAAAGGUUUACCGCCUUGGGAUAGGCUUGCGUCUGAUUAGCUAGUUGGUGUGGUAACGGCACACCAAGGCUACGAUCAGUAACUGGUCUCGAGAGGAUGAUCAGUCACACUGGAACUGAGACACGGUCCAGACUCCUACGGGAGGCAGCAGUGAGGAAUAUUGGGCAAUGCUCGAAAGAGUGACCCAGCAACGCCGCGUGGAGGAUGAAGAUAUUCUAUAUCGUAAACUCCUGUGAGAGCAGACGAAAGACAGAUUAUUAAUCUGGAUGACUGUAUGCUCAGAGGAAGCCCCGGCUAACUACGUG
RNAcentral lists this ribosomal RNA (478 nucleotides) under uncultured bacterium. Its description in RNAcentral is "bacterial SSU rRNA". It matches the Rfam family "Bacterial small subunit ribosomal RNA", at positions 38 to 507 of the family's 1533-position model. The record is from RNAcentral.